GAAGAAGAAGAAGCUGACCAUCGAAGAGGAGAUGAGCAUCCGCCGUUGAAUAUAUCAUUUCAGUUAUCACUGUCCCGUAAAUAAAGACAAGCGUACAUUUUAGAUACACAGGCUACCCGUAUUUUUGUCAGUCCCUCACCAUGGCGACCGGUGCUGAUGUGAGGGAUAUUCUGGAGCUGGCAGGAGGAGACGAUUCAGGUCCCAUCAGCAAGAAGGACAUCAUCAACUCAGACAAGAAAAAAGCCAAGAAAGUGACAGAGACAUUAACGUUCAAGAGACCAGAAGGAAUGCACAGAGAAGUUUAUGCCUUGCUGUAUUCAGACAAAAAUCGGGAUGCCCCUCCCCUGUUACCAAGUGAUACUACGCAAGGCUACCGGACAGUGAAAGCAAAACUGGGCUGUAAGAAGGUGCGGCCCUGGAAGUGGAUGCCCUUUUCCAAUCCAGCCAGAAAAGAUGGAGCCAUCUUCCAUCACUGGAGACGUGCAGCAGAGGAAGGAAAGGACUACCCAUUUGCUCGCUUCAACAAGACUGUGCAGGUGCCUGCGUACUCAGAGCAGGAGUAUCAGAUGUAUCUUCAUGACGAUGGAUGGACGAAAGCUGAAACAGAUCACCUGUUUGACUUGUGCAAACGUUUCGACCUGCGAUUUAUUGUUAUCCAUGAUCGCUAUGAUCACCAGCAGUAUAGAAAGCGUUCUGUGGAGGAUCUUAAGGAGCGUUAUUACAGCAUUUGUGGCAAACUGACAAAAGUUCGGGCAGGAACAGGGACAGAACCUAAGAUCUACAUAUUUGAUGCUGGUCAUGAGAGACGCAGGAAAGAGCAGCUCGAGAGACUUUUCAACCGCACUCCAGAGCAGGUGGCAGAAGAGGAAUACCUGAUCCAGGAGCUGAGGAAGAUUGAGACACGUAAGAAGGAGCGUGAAAAGAAGACCCAGGACCUCCAGAAGCUCAUUACAGCAGCUGACACGACGACAGAGAUGCGCAGAGCUGAACGUAAAGCCACCAAGAAGAAGCUGCCGCAGAAACGAGAGACGGAAAAACCUGCUGUUCCUGAAACCGCAGGCAUCAAAUUCCCAGACUUCAAAUCUGCUGGUGUUUCACUACGGAGUCAGAGAAUGAAGCUGCCCAGCUCAGUUGGUCAGAAGAAAAUAAAAGCAAUUGAACAGAUCCUGACGGAGCAAGGAGUGGACCUCAACCCCAUGCCCACAGAGGAGAUUGUGCAGAUGUUUAAUGAACUUCGCAGCGACCUGGUCCUGGUUUAUGAGUUGAAGCAGGCCUACAGUAACUGUGAGUACGAACAGCAGAUGUUGCGGCACCGCUAUGACGCUCUGCUAAAAACAGGGAGCGCCGUCACACCACAGAGCGAGAGCGGUGGAGCACCUGACAGUCAAUCUUGGCCCGGCGCCGAUGACAUCAAAACCGAAGCCAAAGAGCAGAUUAUUGAUGUGGUUGGAGCUCCACUCACUCCAAAUUCGCGCAAACGCAGAGAAUCUGCUUCGAGUUCCUCAUCUAUCAAGAAGGUGAAGAAACCAUGACAUAAAUGACUUGGUAAACUCAAUUGGACAUUUUUGGAAGAGGAUAGAGAGACCAAACCUCUACCAUGACACAGACCACCCUUGACAACCUAUUCCAUUAUACAACCUCUUCUGUCCAACCAGGCAGCCCAAACCCAGAUGAACUGUAAAUUGGCAAAGAGAGCUAAUCGGCACAUGACAAGACAGAAGCAAGCAGACAGAAAAAAUAAAAGUCUGCUUGUCUGUCUGAAAUGAAUGUAUGCUGGACAGAUGGUAUGAGUCUGGAUCCUGUUGGGGAAUUUAUUGAAAGAGUGUUUGCUUUUUGGCUGCAUCGUGAAACAGUAGGCUCUGGAAAAAUGUCUCAUUUUUUGGAGGUGUCCCUGUCUAACUGGCGUCUUUACGUCUGCCAUUCUGAUUUGCCUGUUUUCACCUGCAAUCCUGCAUUUUCUCAGAAGAGCCAGAGUGUCACCUAUCUCAAAUAGAUGCUCAUGUUGAGCUUGUUACCUGUUAAAUGUCCUUGUGUUUAAUAAAUGUUUUUUCGCGUCGCUUGUUAA
Sinocyclocheilus grahami is the source of this 2065-nucleotide RNA transcript. It is a transcript of the gene named DNA methyltransferase 1-associated protein 1-like, with no coding region annotated. NCBI's taxonomy places the organism in Eukaryota, Metazoa, Chordata, Actinopteri, Cypriniformes, Cyprinidae. The record is from RefSeq and is a predicted model, not a curated record. The transcript has 12 exons.